RNAcentral lists this transfer RNA (90 nucleotides) under Epicoccum nigrum. It matches the Rfam family "tRNA". Rfam says of the family: Transfer RNA (tRNA) molecules are approximately 80 nucleotides in length. The record is from Rfam by way of RNAcentral. Lineage: Eukaryota; Fungi; Ascomycota; Dothideomycetes; Pleosporales; Didymellaceae.
GCAUCGGUGGUUUAGUGGUAAAAUUAGCCGUUGCCAUCCAUUCAAUUGGACAGUAUCGGCUAGCCCCGGGUUCGAUUCCCGGCCGAUGCA